UCUCUCUCUACACCCACCCGAUGUCCAUCUUUUUCAUCUCCUGCGAUCCAGUCACGCGACGGCUCCAUCUUGCCAAGCCUCAAUCGACCUUCUUACUGGAUUCGAGUGACGCUGCUGCAUCUUCUGAUUUACUUGUGGUUUCUUUCCUCUUCGCGAGUAAGGUAAGCGUCCAAAUCGAGUGACUUUUGCGAGUUCUGACUUUCUAAUUCUGAUUUCGGUAUCCGAUCAUACGUUAAAUCGAUUUUCCGGCAGCUCCUUCGAACGAAUGUGUGCUUCGAUUUAUGUUGUUUUGGUUAAUUUCUUGCGAUUUAGUUUAUUUUGUUUUCUUUAAUUGUUGUUAUCUUGUGGAGAUAUUGGAGAUCUUUAAACGUUGGAUGUAAGAUCUAUGUAAGAACUUUUGUUUAGACUGGGUUUUGAUUGGUUGUUCUUUGAAUCUUUUAUGGGUUUUCUUGAUUUAGAAUGAGGGUUUGCGGUGUUUGAUGCUGACUGGUUUGUUUAUUUGAUCAAUUUUUCUUUCUGUUAUUGGAAUUUGAAAUUGUUGGUGAAGUUGUGGUGUCGUGGUACUGUUUCACUGUGUUGAUUCCUUCAGUUGUGUAUUAUUGAGUAAUUCAUGAGCACUGUGUGUUUGUGUUUUUUUAAAAAUUUGUUUUCUAAAACCUGAUGAUCUUUUGAAAAACUAUAUCUGAUUUUAUUAUUGAUCGUCUUUACCUCAGUCCUGUUUUAUUACCCAGUCAAAAGUAGAAAUUCAGUUAAGUUAAACUUUAAGCUUCAAGCUUUUUUAGGGCAUUUCUAACACAUAUUAUCCGUUUUCAAAGAAGUAGUUGCAUUCUUUAUGACUAUUAUUUGGUUCAUACAGUUAUGGAAUUGUGUAAAUAUAAGGAUUAGUGGUGGAUAAUGAGCAAACCAUUUGUUCUGUUUAAGAAUAACUUUUGUUAAAUAGGUCUUUGAUUAAGCAUAAAUAUUUUACUGCUUAUUGAAAUAGCUCCUCCUUCUUUGUAUUUAAAUUUAUUGCAUUCUUUGUUCAACCCAGCAAAUUUUUAGUUGAUUCAUCUGUUAAUGUCCUUUUUUUCACAAUUGGCACGUGCAUACUGUGAUGUUUAUGUGUUUAUAGAUGUCACGAACAGGAAAAGAAAAGGUUGGCUCAAUUGAAGGUGGUGAUUAUGAUAAGGUUAGAUGGGAUGACAAAUCCACUGCAGUCCUAGUUGAGUUGUGUUAUGAAUUAAUGCAAUCUGUUAAGAGGGUACCCGGUAGUCGGAUCCCUAAGAUAGAAUGGGAGGAUCUCAUUGUAAAAUUUAAUGCAAAGACCAAAUACAGCUGGCCAAAGACAGCUUUGAAAAACAGAUGGGAUGCCCUUCGAAAGGAUUGGACAUUGUGAACGAAAAUUAUGGCUAAGGAUACCGGUACUGGAUGAAAUGCUGAGUUGGGUACAGUUGAUGCAUCAAAUGAGUGGUGGGAGGAAAGAAUUAAGGAGAACAAGGAGUAUGCACGGGUAUUUCAGGAUGCAAUUACAGAUGAAUCAAUACACUUUCCGCAUCCACCGCCAGGAAAAUAUUAUCUAGUAGAUGCGGGAUAUCCUAACAGGAUUGGUUAUCUUGCCCCAUAUAGAGGUGAAAGAUAUCAUUCAUCUCAAUUUGAAUAUGGUCGUAGAGCAUCGGGACCUCAGGAGGUAUUCAACCAUGCACAUUCAUCGCUUCGAAAUGUGAUAGAAAGAACUUUUGGGGUAACAAAGAAUAGGUGGCCGAUGCUGAGAAAUAUGCGGUCAUUCCCGUUCCCAAUUCAAGUGGAAAUUGUGAUAGCGUGCAUGGCACUUCACAAUUUUAUUCGAUUAAGGGUGACAGAUGAUGAGGAGUUCACGGACAUAGAUGAAGAACCAAGUUGUUCAUAUGACGAAGGUCCUAGUGACGCUGCUGCAGCAGGGGAUUCGGAUUUACGUGACGACAAUACAAUGACGCGUGUUCGAGAUCUUAUUGCAAACAAACUUGUCCGUCGGAGGGAGCGUAAUUGAGAUUGUGGGCAUAUGUAAACAAUAUUUGAGAGUUAAA
This is a long non-coding RNA of Tripterygium wilfordii, 2042 nucleotides long. RefSeq lists it as uncharacterized. The record is from RefSeq and is a predicted model, not a curated record. Lineage: Eukaryota; Viridiplantae; Streptophyta; Magnoliopsida; Celastrales; Celastraceae. The transcript is spliced from 3 exons.